This 497-nucleotide ribosomal RNA is filed under the name uncultured bacterium. RNAcentral describes it as "partial 16S ribosomal RNA". It matches the Rfam family "Bacterial small subunit ribosomal RNA", at positions 28 to 507 of the family's 1533-position model. The record is from RNAcentral.
GAUGAACGCUGGCGGCGUGCCUAAUACAUGCAAGUCGAGCGAACAGACGAGGAGUUUGCUCCUCUGACGUUAGCGGCGGACGGGUGAGUAACACGUGGAUAACCUACCUAUAAGACUGGGAUAACUUCGGGAAACCGGAGCUAAUACCGGAUAAUAUAUCGAACCGCAUGGUUCAAUAGUGAAAGACGGUUUUGCUGUCACUUAUAGAUGGAUCCGCGCCGCAUUAGCUAGUUGGUAAGGUAACGGCUUACCAAGGCAACGAUGCGUAGCCGACCUGAGAGGGUGAUCGGCCACACUGGAACUGAGACACGGUCCAGACUCCUACGGGAGGCAGCAGUAGGGAAUCUUCCGCAAUGGGCGAAAGCCUGACGGAGCAACGCCGCGUGAGUGAUGAAGGUCUUCGGAUCGUAAAACUCUGUUAUUAGGGAAGAACAAAUGUGUAAGUAACUAUGCACGUCUUGACGGUACCUAAUCAGAAGGCCACGGCUAACUACGUG